Molecule: ribosomal RNA, 446 nt
Filed under: uncultured bacterium
Lineage: Bacteria
Description: partial 16S ribosomal RNA
Rfam family: Bacterial small subunit ribosomal RNA
Source: RNAcentral
CCUACGGGGGGCAGCAGUCGAGAAUCAUUCACAAUGGGGGAAACCCUGAUGGUGCGACGCCGCGUGGGGGAAUGAAGGUCUUCGGAUUGUAAACCCCUGUCAUGUGGGAGCAAAUUAAAAAGAUAGUACCACACGAGGAAGAGACGGCUAACGCUGUGCCAGCAGCCGCGGUAAUACAGCGGUCUCAAGCGUUGUUCGGAACCACUGGGCGUAAAGCGUGCGUAGGCGGUUUCGUAAGUCGUGUGUGAAAGGCGCGGGCUCAACCCGCGGACGGCACGUGAUAAUGCGAGACUAGAGUAAUGGAGGGGGAACCGGAAUUCUCGGUGUAGCAGUGAAAUGCGUAGAUAUCGAGAGGAACACUCGUGGCGAAGGCGGGUUCCUGGACAUUAACUGACGCUGAGGCACGAAGGCCAGGGGAGCGAAAGGGAUUAGAUACCCCUGUAGUC